This 200-nucleotide unclassified non-coding RNA is filed under the name soil metagenome. Its description in RNAcentral is "partial contains internal transcribed spacer 2 and large subunit ribosomal RNA". The record is from RNAcentral.
UCAUUUGUACUCUCAAGCUUUGCUUGGUGUUGGGUGUUUGUCCUUGCCUUUGCGUUUGGACUCGCCUUAAAUUCAUUGGCAGCCUAUAUAUUGGUUUGAAGCGCAGCACAUUUUGCGAUUCUGUCUAGUACUAUUAGCGUCCAUAAAGCACAAUUAACACUUUUGACCUCGGAUCAAGUAGGGAUACCCGCUGAACUUAA